This 543-nucleotide long non-coding RNA is filed under the name Prunus dulcis (almond). RNAcentral's name for it is "sRNA ncRNA". The record is from RNAcentral. Lineage: Eukaryota; Viridiplantae; Streptophyta; Magnoliopsida; Rosales; Rosaceae.
CAACCCAUCAUCAUAAAAUUGUAUGAUCAAAUUAAUUUCGCCCACUAAUUAACCCAACAGAUUAUGCUAACAUAUUCACAAUCUACAUAUUUAUAUAUAUUAUCCUUUUUUUUUAUAAAAAAAAAUUGAAGAAAAUGAUAUGGAUCAGAGGGUACAACCGCAGAAGACAAAGAAGAAGCAAAGCAUAGCAGCCAAGACCAAGGACUCUACCACAGUUAUCAAGGUCCACAGCACAUCAUCAAGUAUUGAGAAACGCGGCCAUCUGAAACUCUGCAAAUUCAAGUUCAAGCUCCAACCAGAAGUGAAGUAGGAGAAGUCGAAUAUUUCCGCCCACCGGAAUAUUCCUGCCGAAGGCAUGGAGAACUCAAAGUCCAGCCAGCGGAAAGCAGAAGAGUACCACGUUGCUGCAGGGCACAGGAUGAUAUAUAUAUAUAUAUGAUCUGUGUGUUGUGUUCCUUCCUUGAAUCUUUUUCUUUUAUUUUCUCCUUCUUUUUUGUUGACGGAGCAGAGGUUUCUAGCAUAACAUAAAAGGUAGACUUGGCG